RNAcentral lists this ribosomal RNA (502 nucleotides) under uncultured bacterium. RNAcentral's name for it is "partial 16S ribosomal RNA". It matches the Rfam family "Bacterial small subunit ribosomal RNA", at positions 29 to 507 of the family's 1533-position model. The record is from RNAcentral.
AGCGAACGCUGGCGGCGUGCCUAACACAUGCAAGUCGAACGUGAAAGGGAGCAAUCCCAAGUAAAGUGGCGUACGGGUGAGUAACACGUAGGUAAUCUACCCCAGAAUCUGGAAUAACUGGCCGAAAGGCUGGCUAAUACUGGAUAGAGCGACGGAAUCCGUAAUUGGGUUUUUCGGGAAAGGGAGCCUGUAAAAAGGCCUUCGUUCUGGGAUGAGCCUGCGUCCCAUCAGCUAGUUGGUGAGGUAAAAGCUUACCAAGGCAAUGACGGGUAGCUGGUCUGAGAGGACGAUCAGCCACACUGGAACUGAAACACGGUCCAGACUCCUACGGGAGGCAGCAGUGGGGAAUCUUGCGCAAUGGACGAAAGUCUGACGCAGCAACGCCGCGUGAGUGAAGAAGGCCUUCGGGUUGUAAAGCUCUGUCGAGUGGGACGAAAAUGCUUGGAGUUCACAGCUCCAGGAACUGACGGUACCACUAAAGGAAGCACCGGCUAACUCCGUG